UAACCCAAGGUUGACCUCGGAUCAGGUAGGAAGACCCGCUGAACUUAAGCAUAUCAAUAAGCGGAGGAAAAGAAACCAACAGGGAUUGCCCUAGUAACGGCGAGUGAAGCGGCAACAGCUCAAAUUUGAAAUCUGGCUUCGGCCCGAGUUGUAAUUUGCAGAGGAAGCUUUAGGCGCGGCACCUUCUGAGUCCCCUGGAACGGGGCGCCAUAGAGGGUGAGAGCCCCGUAUAGUUGGAUGCCUAGCCUGUGUAAAGCUCCUUCGACGAGUCGAGUAGUUUGGGAAUGCUGCUCAAAAUGGGAGGUAAAUUUCUUCUAAAGCUAAAUACCGGCCAGAGACCGAUAGCGCACAAGUAGAGUGAUCGAAAGAUGAAAAGCACUUUGAAAAGAGGGUUAAAUAGCACGUGAAAUUGUUGAAAGGGAAGCGCUUGUGACCAGACUUGCGCCGGGCAGAUCAUCCGGUGUUCUCACCGGUGCACUCUGCCCGGCUCAGGCCAGCAUCGGUUCUCGCGGGGGGAUAAAGGCCCUGGGAACGUAGCUCCUCCGGGAGUGUUAUAGCCCGGGGCGUAAUGCCCUCGCGGGGACCGAGGUUCGCGCAUCUGCAAGGAUGCUGGCGUAAUGGUCAUCAGCGAC
This 632-nucleotide ribosomal RNA is filed under the name Chaetomium elatum. Its description in RNAcentral is "eukaryotic LSU rRNA". It matches the Rfam family "Eukaryotic large subunit ribosomal RNA", at positions 1 to 648 of the family's 3401-position model. Lineage: Eukaryota; Fungi; Ascomycota; Sordariomycetes; Sordariales; Chaetomiaceae. The record is from RNAcentral.